RNAcentral lists this ribosomal RNA (986 nucleotides) under Arthrobacter sp. RNAcentral describes it as "bacterial SSU rRNA". It matches the Rfam family "Bacterial small subunit ribosomal RNA", at positions 440 to 1436 of the family's 1533-position model. Lineage: Bacteria; Bacillati; Actinomycetota; Actinomycetes; Micrococcales; Micrococcaceae. The record is from RNAcentral.
UAGGGAAGAAGCGAAAGUGACGGUACCUGCAGAAGAAGCGCCGGCUAACUACGUGCCAGCAGCCGCGGUAAUACGUAGGGCGCAAGCGUUAUCCGGAAUUAUUGGGCGUAAAGAGCUCGUAGGCGGUUUGUCGCGUCUGCUGUGAAAGACCGGGGCUCAACUCCGGUUCUGCAGUGGGUACGGGCAGACUAGAGUGAUGUAGGGGAGACUGGAAUUCCUGGUGUAGCGGUGAAAUGCGCAGAUAUCAGGAGGAACACCGAUGGCGAAGGCAGGUCUCUGGGCAUUAACUGACGCUGAGGAGCGAAAGCAUGGGGAGCGAACAGGAUUAGAUACCCUGGUAGUCCAUGCCGUAAACGUUGGGCACUAGGUGUGGGGGACAUUCCACGUUUUCCGCGCCGUAGCUAACGCAUUAAGUGCCCCGCCUGGGGAGUACGGCCGCAAGGCUAAAACUCAAAGGAAUUGACGGGGGCCCGCACAAGCGGCGGAGCAUGCGGAUUAAUUCGAUGCAACGCGAAGAACCUUACCAAGGCUUGACAUGAACCGGUAAUACCUGGAAACAGGUGCCCCGCUUGCGGUCGGUUUACAGGUGGUGCAUGGUUGUCGUCAGCUCGUGUCGUGAGAUGUUGGGUUAAGUCCCGCAACGAGCGCAACCCUCGUUCUAUGUUGCCAGCGCGUUAUGGCGGGGACUCAUAGGAGACUGCCGGGGUCAACUCGGAGGAAGGUGGGGACGACGUCAAAUCAUCAUGCCCCUUAUGUCUUGGGCUUCACGCAUGCUACAAUGGCCGGUACAAAGGGUUGCGAUACUGUGAGGUGGAGCUAAUCCCAAAAAGCCGGUCUCAGUUCGGAUUGGGGUCUGCAACUCGACCCCAUGAAGUCGGAGUCGCUAGUAAUCGCAGAUCAGCAACGCUGCGGUGAAUACGUUCCCGGGCCUUGUACACACCGCCCGUCAAGUCACGAAAGUUGGUAACACCCGAAGCCGGUGGCCU